Molecule: microRNA precursor, 61 nt
Filed under: Capitella teleta
Lineage: Eukaryota; Metazoa; Annelida; Polychaeta; Capitellidae
Description: Cte-Mir-242_pre stem-loop
Source: RNAcentral
UUGCGUAGGUGUUGUGCACAGAGGUGUUACAUAAUAGUCUGUCCAUGACGCCUAGGCAUAC